This 427-nucleotide ribosomal RNA is filed under the name uncultured bacterium. Its description in RNAcentral is "bacterial SSU rRNA". It matches the Rfam family "Bacterial small subunit ribosomal RNA", at positions 917 to 1341 of the family's 1533-position model. The record is from RNAcentral.
GGGCCCGCACAAGCGGUGGAGCAUGUGGUUUAAUUCGACGCAACGCGCAGAACCUUACCAGCCCUUGACAUGGGGGUCGCGGAUAGCAGAGAUGCUUUCUUUCAGUUCGGCUGGACCCCACACAGGUGCUGCAUGGCUGUCGUCAGCUCGUGUCGUGAGAUGUUGGGUUAAGUCCCGCAACGAGCGCAACCCUCGCCCUUAGUUGCCAUCGGUUCGGCCGGGCACUCUAGGGGAACUGCCGGUGACAAGCCGGAGGAAGGCGGGGAUGACGUCAAGUCCUCAUGGCCCUUACGGGCUGGGCUACACACGUGCUACAAUGGCGGUGACAGUGGGCGGCGACCUCGCGAGAGUGAGCCAAUCCCCAAAAACCGUCUCAGUUCGGAUUGCACUCUGCAACUCGAGUGCAUGAAGUUGGAAUCGCUAGUAA